AACUUUGGUUGGGCGACCGGCGCACGGGUGCGUAACGCGUAUGCAACCACCUUUAACUAGGGGGAUAACACUGAGAAAUUGGUACUAAUUCCCCACUAACAUUCGAGAAGGCAUCUUCUUGGGUUAAAAACUCCGGUGGUUAAAGAUGGGCAUGCGUCGUAUUAGCUAGUUGGUGAGGUAACGGCUCACCAAGGCAACGAUACAUAGGGGGACUGAGAGGUUAACCCCCCACAUUGGUACUGAGACACGGACCAA
This 255-nucleotide ribosomal RNA is filed under the name uncultured bacterium. Its description in RNAcentral is "partial 16S ribosomal RNA". It matches the Rfam family "Bacterial small subunit ribosomal RNA", at positions 76 to 334 of the family's 1533-position model. The record is from RNAcentral.